RNAcentral lists this long non-coding RNA (446 nucleotides) under Pongo abelii (Sumatran orangutan). Its description in RNAcentral is "lincRNA". The record is from RNAcentral. Lineage: Eukaryota; Metazoa; Chordata; Mammalia; Primates; Hominidae.
GUUGUCUGCCAACACUAACUGGCCAGCUCUGACAGGAGGUGCGUGGCCCAGGAGGAGCCAUCAGGCCAGUUCUCUGGGAUACUGCUGUGUGUCCAGCUCUGCAGUUUGCUCUGCAUCACUCAGCGGCAGACAGAGAGGCAGACACAAGCCCCUUUUGAGACCUCCUCCUUACCGUCAUCUCACAAUGUUCUGAAAUAAGGAGGCAAAUGGCUGAGGUCCCCUCAGUUGUAGAUGUGAUUGAGUUCUAUCUACCAGAAGCAUAUGCCUCCUGGAAGCCUGGUUCUAACACCUCCCACAAAAUCCUUCAAGCACUUUUUUCUGCUCCAAGGUUUGCUUAUGGGGGACCUAGUGAAGUGCUUCAGAGCCCUAGAGAUUUGCUGAGUCAUAUGAGGGGUCAGCAAACUUUUCCUGUAAAGGGUCAGAUAAUAAACAUUUUAAGCUUUGUA